This 2010-nucleotide long non-coding RNA is filed under the name Marmota monax (woodchuck). The record is from RNAcentral. Lineage: Eukaryota; Metazoa; Chordata; Mammalia; Rodentia; Sciuridae.
GGCAGAACAACCCGGGGCCUGCCUGGCUGUUCUCUGCCUGUUUCCUUGAGAGCAAGCACCUUCAUUCUCCUCGUGGUUUUCAUUACUGAGUCUCAGGUACGUGUCCCUGAACUACGGAGAGAAAGAGGAGAGAGAGACAUAGGGAGACAGGAAGUGAAAGAGAGAGACAGAGACACAAGGAUUGAUGGCAGGAAGGGGUGGGGAGAGAGAGAGAGAGAGAGAGAGAGAGAGAGAGAGAGAGAGAGAGAGAGAGAGAGAGAGGUGAAGAAAGUGGGGGAGGAAGAGGGACACAUCUGAAGUCUGACCCGGGCUGAAUCCUAAAUAGGACAGGUGAGUCAAAGCUCAGAACAGGAGUCAGGCUUUGGUCACGGGGCAGCUCAGACAUUUUACAUUGACAGUGACCACCAUCGAUGGGUUUCCUGAGGACCACUUUGAGGAGCGACUUGCUCAGUCUCUGCUAAGCCCCAGGGGCGAUGUGACUUCCCGGGGAGUGGCACACAUGUAUGGCAGGUUGGCAAGGAAGUCCGGCACAGGCCCAACACCCACUGCCUCUUGGCAUGUGACUUGGCCCCUUGACCAUCCAGCACCCCGAUUGCCCUCCAGGGAUGAGAACCCUUUGGGCAGGGAUCUGGUGGAAUGCCAUGUUAUCUUUCGACAUCCAUAGGUUUUUUUCAGCUUGAACUUUUCCACUUUUGUUUUACACCAGUGUUUUGAAACUUACCAGGCACCGUGUCUUCCUGAGGCGCUUCCCCGUCCCCGGCCCCUCUGCCCCAGCCCCGCUGGCCUCUCCCUCUGCUCCCGUGGCAUACCUCUGUCACGGACCUUAUCACACUGAAUUGAAAAGAUCUGAGAGCUCUUGGCUGGCAGGGACUGCGUGUUAUUCAUCUGUCUUCCUGGAGCCCAGCUGGAAAAUUAUCUGGUCAGCUGAUUCUCACACUGUGUCCAGCAAAGCCCCCGUGGUUCCACAGAGGACCCCAGGAAGGAGCAUGUGGUUUGGGGGUGCUGCGGCAGGGACUCCUGGCCCCCCAUGCCCCACUUUAACCAGAGCCCUUCCACCUUUUCCUGCUUAUCUACUGGGUUUCCAGGUGAGGUUUCACUUUUAAAAGAAGUUUCUCUGCUCUAAAAGGGUUAAGCCAGGUGCCUGGUGCCUGCUUAUAAUCUCAGUGACUCUGGAGGCUGAGGAAGGAGAUGGCAAGGUAGAGGCCAGCCUUAGCUAUUUAGCAAGGUCCUGUCUCAAAAUAAAAAAAAUAAAAAGGGAUAGAAAUGUAGCUCAAUGGUAAAACCUGGUUCAAUCCCCAGUACCAUAAUAAUAAUAAUAAUAAUAAUAAUAAUAAUAAUAAUAAAUCUAAGGUUCACGAAUCUCUAAUCUGGCCUGGUUCCUUAGGUUAUGUGCAUUUCGUACAUUCUCUUGAACCAUAAAGGAGCUAAAAUUUAAUACCUGAGCAUCAAACUGCUUCCUUCUGUCUUUGCUGGUCCCAUCUCACACUGAAUACUCCCUGUCCCCAACCCGUCCCUCUCAUGGGGAAAAGAAUUGGAGAAGGAUCGAUUCGAUACCUAUUAUAGAAUGAAAAUGUUUGUUUUCUAUCCACAGGAUUUGAUCAGGGACAAGAUGAUAUUUCUAAGGAAGAAGAAAUCUUGUUGGCCUAAUUACUCCAAUUUUAUUCUCUUAAAGCCAAAUUGACUAGGUGAACCACAGCACCCUGUCCUCGCAUCUCACGGUGAAGAUGGGAAGUUAAGACUUAACACGCCUGAAUUCUCAUCUCUGGGGUCCACUUCAUCACUGUGUAUUCGCAUGUGCAUGGUUAACUUCCAAGCCUUGCAUUUCUUCUCAUACAGUUUUUUUAUUCUGAUUAGCAAAUAAGAUAAUGUCGACAUCUUUUACAAAGUAUGAAGGUGUAUUUUAAAAUGGUAAUGCUUAAUGGAGUAUUACUCAGCCAUACAGAAGAAUAAUUUUAUGACAUUUGCAAGUAAAUGGAUGAACCUGGAGACUCUCAUGCUAAGUGAAAUAAG